RNAcentral lists this ribosomal RNA (754 nucleotides) under Galerina atkinsoniana. RNAcentral's name for it is "eukaryotic LSU rRNA". It matches the Rfam family "Eukaryotic large subunit ribosomal RNA", at positions 78 to 817 of the family's 3401-position model. Lineage: Eukaryota; Fungi; Basidiomycota; Agaricomycetes; Agaricales; Galerinaceae. The record is from RNAcentral.
CCCUAGUAACUGCGAGUGAAGCGGGAAAAGCUCAAAUUUAAAAUCUGGCGGUCUUUGGCUGUCCGAGUUGUAAUCUAGAGAAGUGUUAUCCGCGCUGGACCGUGUACAAGUCUCCUGGAAUGGAGCGUCAUAGAGGGUGAGAAUCCCGUCUUUGACACGGACUGCCAGGGCUUUGUGAUGCGCUCUCAAAGAGUCGAGUUGUUUGGGAAUGCAGCUCAAAAUGGGUGGUAAAUUCCAUCUAAAGCUAAAUAUUGGCGAGAGACCGAUAGCGAACAAGUACCGUGAGGGAAAGAUGAAAAGAACUUUGGAAAGAGAGUUAAACAGUACGUGAAAUUGCUGAARGGGAAACGCUUGAAGUCAGUCGCGUUGGCCGGGGAUCAACCUUGCUUUUGCUGGGCGUACUUCCCGGUUAAUGGGUCAGCAUCAAUUUUGACCGUUGGAUAAAGGUCAGGGGAAUGUGGCAUCUUCGGAUGUGUUAUAGCCCUUGGUCGCAUACAACGGUUGGGAUUGAGGAACUCAGCACGCCGCAAGGCCGGGUAUUUAUACUACGUUCGUGCUUAGGAUGCUGGCAUAAUGGCUUUAAUCGACCCGUCUUGAAACACGGACCAAGGAGUCUAACAUGCCUGCGAGUGUUUGGGUGGAAAACCCGAGCGCGUAAUGAAAGUGAAAGUUGAGAUCCCUGUCGUGGGGAGCAUCGACGCCCGGACCAGACCUUCUGUGACGGAUCCGCGGUAGAGCAUKUAUGUUGGGACCC